UAGGGAAUCUUCCGCAAUGGACGAAAGUCUGACGGAGCAACGCCGCGUGAGCGAAGAAGGCCUUCGGGUCGUAAAGCUCUGUUGUUAGGGAAGAACAAGUACGAGAGUAACUGCUCGUACCUUGACGGUACCUAACCAGAAAGCCACGGCUAACUACGUGCCAGCAGCCGCGGUAAUACGUAGGUGGCAAGCGUUGUCCGGAAUUAUUGGGCGUAAAGCGCGCGCAGGUGGUUCUUUAAGUCUGAUGUGAAAGCCCACGGCUCAACCGUGGAGGGUCAUUGGAAACUGGGGAACUUGAGUGCAGAAGAGGAAAGUGGAAUUCCAAGUGUAGCGGUGAAAUGCGUAGAGAUUUGGAGGAACACCAGUGGCGAAGGCGACUUUCUGGUCUGUAACUGACACUGAGGCGCGAAAGCGUGGGGAGCAAACA
RNAcentral lists this ribosomal RNA (427 nucleotides) under uncultured bacterium. RNAcentral describes it as "bacterial SSU rRNA". It matches the Rfam family "Bacterial small subunit ribosomal RNA", at positions 355 to 774 of the family's 1533-position model. RNAcentral also lists the same sequence under 1 other name. The record is from RNAcentral.